Molecule: ribosomal RNA, 464 nt
Filed under: uncultured bacterium
Lineage: Bacteria
Description: bacterial SSU rRNA
Rfam family: Bacterial small subunit ribosomal RNA
Source: RNAcentral
UCCAGACUCCUACGGGAGGCAGCAGUGAGGAAUAUUGGUCAAUGGGCGGGAGCCUGAACCAGCCAAGUCGCGUGAGGGAUGACGGCCCUAUGGGUUGUAAACCUCUUUUGCCGGGGAGCAAAGUGCCGCACGUGUGCGGUUUGGAGAGUACCCGGAGAAAAAGCAUCGGCUAACUCCGUGCCAGCAGCCGCGGUAAUACGGAGGAUGCGAGCGUUAUCCGGAUUUAUUGGGUUUAAAGGGUGCGUAGGCGGGCGCUUAGGCCAGGGGUAAAGUUGGGGGGCUCACCCUCGGCGAGCCGUUGAAACUGGGUGCCUUGAGUGGGCGAGAGGUAUGCGGAAUGCGUGGUGUAGCGGUGAAAUGCAUAGAUAUCACGCAGAACCCCGAUUGCGAAGGCAGCAUACCGGUGCACAACUGACGCUCAGGCACGAAAGCGUGGGUAUCGAACAGGAUUAGAUACCCUCGUA